This 66-nucleotide transfer RNA is filed under the name Murexia longicaudata (short-furred dasyure). Its description in RNAcentral is "tRNA-Cys". The record is from RNAcentral. Lineage: Eukaryota; Metazoa; Chordata; Mammalia; Dasyuromorphia; Dasyuridae.
GGCUCUGAAGUAUGCAUUACGUUGAAUUGCAAAUUCAAAAAAGUAACUUAAGUGUUGCCGGGGCUU